ACGAACGCUGGCGGCGUGCUUAACACAUGCAAGUCGAACGGGUCUGCCCUGUUUUUUGCGGGGUGGGUCAGUGGCGAACGGGUGAGUAACACGUGAGUAACCUGCCCCUCACUUCUGGAUAACCGCUUGAAAGGGUGGCUAAUACGGGGUGUUCUGGCUGUGCCGCAUGGUGUGGCUGGGAAAGAUUCACUUUUGUGGUGUUUUGGUGGGGGAUGGGCUCGCGGCCUAUCAGCUUGUUGGUGGGUUGAUGGCCUGCCAAGGCUUUGACGGGUAGCCGGCCUGAGAGGGUGGGCGGUCACACUGGGACUGAGAUACGGCCCAGACUCCUGCGGGAGGCAGCAGUGGGGGGUAUUGCACAAUGGGCGGAAGCCUGAUGCAGCGACGUCGCGUGAGGGAUGGAGGCCUUCGGGUUGUGAACCUCUUUCGCCGGUGAAGAAGGUCCUGCUCUUUGUGGUGGGGUUGACGGUAGCCGGGUUAUGAAGCGCCGGCUAACUACGUG
RNAcentral lists this ribosomal RNA (499 nucleotides) under uncultured bacterium. RNAcentral's name for it is "partial 16S ribosomal RNA". It matches the Rfam family "Bacterial small subunit ribosomal RNA", at positions 29 to 507 of the family's 1533-position model. The record is from RNAcentral.